UGGAAGUAAAAAGUCGUAACAAGGUCUCCGUUGGUGAACCAGCGGAGGGAUCAUUACUGAGUUUACGCUCUACAACCCUUUGUGAACAUACCUAUAACUGUUGCUUCGGCGGGUAGGGUCUCCGUGACCCUCCCGGCCUCCCGCCCCCGGGCGGGUCGGCGCCCGCCGGAGGAUAACCAAACUCUGAUUUAACGACGUUUCUUCUGAGUGGUACAAGCAAAUAAUCAAAACUUUUAACAACGGAUCUCUUGGUUCUGGCAUCGAUGAAGAACGCAGCGAAAUGCGAUAAGUAAUGUGAAUUGCAGAAUUCAGUGAAUCAUCGAAUCUUUGAACGCACAUUGCGCCCGCCAGCAUUCUGGCGGGCAUGCCUGUUCGAGCGUCAUUUCAACCCUCAAGCUCUGCUUGGUGUUGGGGCCCUACAGCUGAUGUAGGCCCUCAAAGGUAGUGGCGGACCCUCCCGGAGCCUCCUUUGCGUAGUAACUUUACGUCUCGCACUGGGAUCCGGAGGGACUCUUGCCGUAAAACCCCCAAUUUUCCAAAGGUGACCUCGGA
Molecule: ribosomal RNA, 552 nt
Filed under: fungal sp. GZ-2010a
Lineage: Eukaryota; Fungi
Description: eukaryotic LSU rRNA
Rfam family: 5.8S ribosomal RNA (bases 229-382)
Source: RNAcentral